GAUGAAGAACGUAGCGAAAUGCGAUAAGUAGUGUGAAUUGCAGAAUUCAGUGAAUCAUCGAAUCUUUAAACGCACAUUGCGCCCCUUGGUAUUCCAUGGGGCAUGCCUGUUCGAGCGUCAUUUGUACCCUCAAGCUUUGCUUGGUGUUGGGUGUUUGUCCCGCGCUCUUUUGCGCAAGACUCGCCUUAAAUCAAUUGGCAGCCGGCAUGUUAGCCUGGAGCGCAGCACAUUUUGCGCCCCUUGCUUGCUUGUGUUGGCCCCCAUCAAGUCCAUAUAUUUGCUCUUGACCUCGGAUCAGGUAGGGAUACCCGCUGAACUUAAGCAUAUCAAUAAGCGGAGGA
RNAcentral lists this unclassified non-coding RNA (341 nucleotides) under soil metagenome. Its description in RNAcentral is "partial contains 5.8S ribosomal RNA, internal transcribed spacer 2, and large subunit ribosomal RNA". The stretch from base 1 to 120 matches the Rfam family "5.8S ribosomal RNA", at positions 35 to 154 of the family's 154-position model. The record is from RNAcentral.